Molecule: long non-coding RNA, 837 nt
Filed under: Rattus norvegicus (Norway rat)
Lineage: Eukaryota; Metazoa; Chordata; Mammalia; Rodentia; Muridae
Description: long non-coding RNA NONRATT024600
Source: RNAcentral
CGCGGUGACAGAGAAGCGCGGCCUUUCUCUCGCCCCGCCUUCCCCGCCGCUCGCAGCCAAUGGGAAGGCUCUGUACUACGAGGUGCAGAGGGGACAGCGCCGUGGGCAAGUCGCAAGUCUAGAAAGCGGCGGGAAGUUCGUACUACGCUGUGGGACGGCGAGUUGGCCGCUCUGGGUAGGGAGCCCUGAGGUGGCGGCGGGACGGUGGGUACAGCGACGCAUCAGAGAGGCGCCUGCUCAUCCGGGUGUCAGGCGGCGCGGCUGCUGGGUCGGGUCAGCCCGGGAACCCUCGCCUCUCUGCCCGCUCGCGGAGCUGCCGGAAGCCCGGUUCUAGAAGGCCGCCCGAAGCCUGGACAGGGCCAGGUGGCGGACACCGGGACAGGAAUCUGGACCGGCCGAGCUUGCCUCUUCCUUAGCAGCGGUGAGGUGAGGCCUCGGGGCACACCCGCGGCCGCUAGCUUCUCGUUUCCUCCCUGGCCUUGCUCCACAGGUCUCCACCGCCGGUGACCUGUCUCCUGUUGCAGUGUCUUCAGAGGCAAGCAGGUUUGCUCCAGCGCCCAAGUUUGUUUUAGACCGUUUCCAGUUCACACAGCCUAGGUGUAAAAGUGCGCCAGAGUCUUUGAGAGCUGGGGACACAAGCUAGUCCUUAUCCGGUUACCCAUCCCCCCCCCCCCAUUGUCUUAUCGUUGACGUUAACCAUUCUUUAAGUCUCUGCCUGUAUUAUUCCUUUCUGUCCCCCAUUGCUCUUGGAGUAAUUUGGAAACACGAUUUUGCCAUUGGGAAGGUGGUGGUUAAACCUAGGGAAUCGUUGAAGAGCGUCGUUGCUUUCCCUUAAAA